This 190-nucleotide small RNA is filed under the name Massilia sp. RNAcentral describes it as "Manganese sequence". It matches the Rfam family "Manganese Mn2+ riboswitch aptamer (yybP-ykoY)". Rfam says of the family: This RNA was originally discovered in E. coli during a large scale screen and was named SraF. The family was later found to exist upstream of related families of protein genes in many bacteria, including the the yybP and ykoK genes in B. subtilis. The specific functions of these proteins are unknown, but this structured RNA element may be involved in their genetic regulation as a riboswitch. The record is from RNAcentral. Lineage: Bacteria; Pseudomonadati; Pseudomonadota; Betaproteobacteria; Burkholderiales; Oxalobacteraceae.
CCCACACCCUGUGGGGAGUAGCCUCCUCCUGCGCAAUGCGGGAGGGCCCGUGUCAACAUACUCGCUUCACUCAGUUUCUGAUGCUGAAGCGUGGCGCGGGCGACCUAGCGGUUGGCGAGACCAUCGGCCCAUCCGCGCCAUUGUCGGGCGUGCGGGUGCGCCUUUGUGUUUUUGUCCGACCGGAACCCCA